UUCCAUCGCAGCAAGCAAGCUGUUUAAAUUUUGUAAGCGGUAAACUUGAAAACCCGCCCUCCCACUCCUUUUUAUUGAACAAGAUACUGCUCUUUUUUUAUUUUUCAGGUUUGUGUCGGUGAUAGUGAUGAUACAGAUUUGACUGAUGAUGUUAACUCGUUUGCUGUUGAGAAAAGUGACUUUUAUUUGAACUUUGAGCAUCAUAAAUAUAUUCCCGUAAAUGGCAGAAUUCGCU
This 235-nucleotide long non-coding RNA is filed under the name Mytilus galloprovincialis (Mediterranean mussel). The record is from RNAcentral. Lineage: Eukaryota; Metazoa; Mollusca; Bivalvia; Mytilida; Mytilidae.